GGAUGCGAUCAUACCAGCACUAAAGCACCGGAUCCCAUCAGAACUCCUAAGUUAAGCGUGCUUGGGCGAGAGUAGUACUAGGAUGGGUGAGCUCUUGGGAAGUCCUCGUGUUGCAUUCC
RNAcentral lists this ribosomal RNA (119 nucleotides) under Triticum aestivum (bread wheat). Lineage: Eukaryota; Viridiplantae; Streptophyta; Magnoliopsida; Poales; Poaceae. The record is from RNAcentral. RNAcentral also lists the same sequence under 1 other name.